GGACCCGCACAAGUAGUGGAGCAUGUGGUUUAAUUCGAAGAUACGCGCAGAACCUUACCAACACUUGACAUGUUCGUCGCGACUUUAAGAGAUUAAAGUUUUCGGUUCGGCCGGACGAAACACAGGUGCUGCAUGGCUGUCGUCAGCUCGUGUCGUGAGAUGUUGGGUUAAGUCCCGCAACGAGCGCAACCCUCACUUUUAGUUGCCAUCAUUAAGUUGGGCACUCUGAAAAGAACUGCCAGUGAUAAGCUGGAGGAAGGUGGGGGAUGACGUCAAGUCCUCAUGGCCCUUACGUGUUGGGCUACACACGUGCUACAAAUGGUAUCUACAACAGGAAGCAAAAACUGCAGGUU
Molecule: ribosomal RNA, 353 nt
Filed under: uncultured bacterium
Lineage: Bacteria
Description: bacterial SSU rRNA
Rfam family: Bacterial small subunit ribosomal RNA
Source: RNAcentral